CCUACGGGAGGCAGCAGUGAGGAAUAUUGGUCAAUGGACGCAAGUCCGAACCAGCCAUGCCGCGUGCAGGAAGACGGCUCUAUGAGUUGUAAACUGCUUUUGUACGAGGGUAAAUCCCGAUACGUGUAUCGGGUUGAAAGUAUCGUACGAAUAAGGAUCGGCUAACUCCGUGCCAGCAGCCGCGGUAAUACGGAGGAUUCAAGCGUUAUCCGGAUUUAUUGGGUUUAAAGGGUGCGUAGGCGGUUCGAUAAGUUAGAGGUGAAAGCCCGGGGCUCAACUCCGGCACUGCCUCUGAUACUGUCGGGCUAGAGUGUAGUUGCGGUAGGCGGAAUGUAUGGUGUAGCGGUGAAAUGCAUAGAGAUCAUACAGAACACCGAUUGCGAAGGCAGCUUACCAAACUACGACUGACGUUGAGGCACGAAAGCGUGGGGAGCAAACAGGAUUAGAUACCCCUGUAGUC
RNAcentral lists this ribosomal RNA (460 nucleotides) under uncultured bacterium. Its description in RNAcentral is "partial 16S ribosomal RNA". It matches the Rfam family "Bacterial small subunit ribosomal RNA", at positions 338 to 795 of the family's 1533-position model. The record is from RNAcentral.